RNAcentral lists this ribosomal RNA (439 nucleotides) under uncultured bacterium. RNAcentral describes it as "partial 16S ribosomal RNA". It matches the Rfam family "Bacterial small subunit ribosomal RNA", at positions 338 to 795 of the family's 1533-position model. The record is from RNAcentral.
CCUACGGGUGGCAGCAGUGGGGAAUAUUGCACAAUGGGCGAAAGCCUGAUGCAGCAACGCCGCGUGAGCGAUGAAGGCCUUCUGGUCGUAAAGCUCUGUUCUCAAGGAAGAUAAUGACGGUACUUGUGGAGGAAGCCCCGGCAAACUACGUGCCAGCAGCCGGGGUAAUACGCAGGGGGCUAGCGUUAUCCGGAAUUACUGGGCGUAAGGGGUGCGUAGGUGGUUUCUUAAGUCAGAGGUGAAAGGCUACGGCUCAACCGUAGUAAGCCUUUGAAACUGGGGAACUUGAGUGCAGGAGAGGAGAGUGGAAUUCCUAGUGUAGCGGUGAAAUGCGUAGAUAUUAGGAGGAACACCAGUUGCGAAGGCGGCUCUCUGGACUGUAACUGACACUGAGGCACGAAAGCGUGGGGAGCAAACAGGAUUAGAUACCCCUGUAGUC